AAAACAUGUCUUUUUGAUUAUAAUUUAAAGUCUAAUCUGCUCCAUGAUUAAAAAAAUUAAAUAGCUGCAGUAUUUUGACUGUACAAAGGUAGCAUAAUCAAUAGUUUUUUAAUUAAAAGCUGGAAUGAAUGAUUUGAUAAGGUAAAUAUUGUCUCAAUUUUAAUAGAGUUAGAAUUUUUUUUUUAGUUAAAAAACUAAGUUGAAUUUAAAAGACGAGAAGACCCUAUAGAUUUUUAUAUUUAUAAAUUUAAUAUUAUAAAAUGUAAUAUAUUAUUAAAUUAAUAAAUAUUUGAUUGGGGUAAUUAUUAAAUUAAGUAAAUUUUAAUUUUUAAUAAACAAUAAUUAUUGAAUUAGAGAUCCUUAUAUUAGGAAUAAAAGAUUAAAUUACCUUAGGGAUAACAGCGUAAUUUUUUUGGAGAGAUCAUAUUGAUAAAAAAGUUUGCGACCUCGAUGUUGAAUUAAGAUUUAAUUUUAAUGGAGAUAUUAAAAAUUUUUGGUCUGUUCGACCAUUAAAAUCUUAC
This 521-nucleotide ribosomal RNA is filed under the name Torbda geniculata. Its description in RNAcentral is "partial 16S large subunit ribosomal RNA". The stretch from base 395 to 521 matches the Rfam family "Archaeal large subunit ribosomal RNA", at positions 2542 to 2668 of the family's 2987-position model. The record is from RNAcentral. Lineage: Eukaryota; Metazoa; Arthropoda; Insecta; Hymenoptera; Ichneumonidae.